This is a long non-coding RNA of Pteropus alecto (black flying fox), 1156 nucleotides long. RefSeq lists it as uncharacterized. Lineage: Eukaryota; Metazoa; Chordata; Mammalia; Chiroptera; Pteropodidae. The transcript has 2 exons. The record is from RefSeq and is a predicted model, not a curated record.
CCCCAACUACCAAGAUGCAAUAGAAAGGGCUUUAGCCCUAAGAGCCGGAUACCCAGGAGGUCCGAAAGGAGCCAGUCAUUAUGUUCAAGUAUCCACGUCAACUUCGUUUUUGUCGCACAGAAGCUAUGAUUCAGCUCUCAAAGCCUUACGCCUGGCUGUUCUUUCUUGCACUCCCCCACCAAUCCUUUCCCCUCUGCUGUGAACAUAUAUGGAAACUCUGAGGAUAAAAGACAGAAUACUAGUCUGGGCACCAGGAGACCUUUAUUGCAUUCCUAACUGAACUAAUUUGUUGUGUGACUGGGCAUUCUUUUUUUCUCCUAGGGCCUCUUUCCGUAUUCAAGUGGAAGCUUUUAGUAACAAUUCUUUGGACGCUUACGGUGUGCUUUCACGGUAACUACUUGCCUAAUUCUCAAACUCAAGUACUAUUUGUUAUUCCUAUUUUACAGCUGAGUACCGUAAGGCAAAGAUUAGAUAACUUGUCCGAGGUCACAUCGCUAUUGAGUGGUUAGAGCAGGAAGUGUGGCACCAGCACCCAUCUUAACUACUGGACUACCCUGCCAGAAGAAAUAAUCAUCAUUGCACGUUUUCCCUGAGGAUGAGUCAAGAUGACUUGUGAAAGAAUUGAUCUCAACUGAAGCGAGUGGUCUGUGAACUCUGUGACCUUAAUGGGCUCAAAUGGCUGUGAAAUGGUGCUGAUGAACAUGUCAGGAUCUUUUAGAGAAAUUCUAGAAAGUGCAAACUACACAGAAUGCAGAUCAGUAGUUGCUGGCGGUUGGGCAAGGAGAACUUCCUAAGGGGCAUGCAGAAACUUCUAGAUGGUAUGUCCACCAACUUGACUGUGGUGAUGGUUUCAUGGGUACAUAUAUGUCAAAACUUACCAAAUUGUACAUUUUAAAUAUGUGCCAUUUACUGUAUUUCAUUUGCAUUUCAAAAAAACUUUUAAAAAACAUCUUUAUAGCAGGAGCAGGCUGUUGCCAUUCUUAAUUCCAUUGUUAGGCCACAAGUUCAAACACCCUCUCCUCAUUCACUUCCAAAAAAUCCGGUCUAGCAUCAUUCCAAAGAAGACGAUUUAGAACUUUGCAACAGGUUUUUAUUUUUGCUUUAUAUCUAUUACAGUGUUUGAAACCUAAAGAAAUACAUUUUCUCUUCAAAUUUG